This is an RNA transcript of Hippocampus zosterae (dwarf seahorse), 3036 nucleotides long. It is a transcript of the gene named sorting nexin 16, with no coding region annotated. The record is from RefSeq and is a predicted model, not a curated record. The transcript is spliced from 9 exons. NCBI's taxonomy places the organism in Eukaryota, Metazoa, Chordata, Actinopteri, Syngnathiformes, Syngnathidae.
UCGCCGUCGAAAGCAUCCACCAUGCCCAUGUUGAUAAGGAUUUCCUCCAAGUAGUAAGUGACCUCCAGCUUGAAUCGAGGCAGGCCCACCAGGACCUCAACAUCAAUCUCCAUCUUGUCUGGUUGUGUCGACUUCAUAAUUGUGUCAUAGGACAGCCAUAUCCUCGGGUAGAAAAUGACGGGACGUGAUGUCUGAGUGAGGCGUUUGACACAUGUGAUCAAGUAAUACAGAGAUUUCGUGACCUAGUGUUUAUUCAGCGUUCCAAACUCCAUUACCCCAACCAAUGGGACCUUCUCGGGAGCCACUUGCGUGUUUUUACUACCCUCGCGUGGCUGUAGUAAGUCACUGCAGCUGUGCACCGAUACUCGAGUAUGCAAACGUGAUACAGAGGAGCAGAUGACUCUGCGAUGUGAAAUGGACAAACAACAACAACAACAACACAAUCACACGCCCGGCUGCCUAAGUAUAGUUAAGGGGCACCUUACCUGCCUCAGGGUUGUUGACCGUCUUCGCCAGCACCUCUGACUGAGCAUUAUUGUCAGGCUUCCGCAUCAAUCUGUACGACAGAGUCAAGUCAUCACGCUGGGACGGCGGUGACGGUCACUUCGCAAGGGGAUGGCAUCACCGUUUGUGCCUGUCCCAGUACCGUUGGACAGAGUCUCAUCAUCGAGUGGCAGUCACAAGCUGAGAAGGCCACCAAGAGCUUCCUCGCUAGGAAGCGUCUCCAGCAGCUCAGAGCCUUCAUCCUCAGUAGUGGGCGAGCGUGAAAAAAGAUGCGGUAGUUCUCAACGUCAGUCCCGUUGCACGGACAGAAGCACUCGAAGUCAGAUGCCGACACCUCUCCGGAGCCCUGUCACGCUGUCAAGAGAAAACAGGACUCUCGAGCCCUCGAAAGUGUAUUCGAGUUGCCCUCGCUCGAUUUCGGCUCCUUUAGAGAGCCAACACGGAGGAGGAGAGGAGAGGCCAAUCACCCCAACUGUUCUUGGAUACGAGGUCAUGGAGGAGAGGUCAAAGUUUACGGUAUAUAAAGUCCUGGUCAGGAAACCCACGGAUCAGAGCUGGGUUAUUUUCAGGAGGUACGCCGACUUUUCCCGACUCAACGACAAGUUGAAAGAGACGUUUCCAGGCUUUCGCCUUGCGCUGCCUCCGAAAAGGUGGUUUAAAGACAACUACGACAGCGACUUCCUGGAAGACAGACAGUUGGGUCUUCAGGCCUUUUUACAAAACUUAGUCGCGCACAAGGACAUUGCCAACUGCCAAUCAGUGAGAGAGUUUUUAUGUCUGGAUGAGCCGCCAGGGCCCUUCGAUAGUUUGGAGGAGAGCAGGGCUUUCUGCGAGACUCUCGAAGAAAGCAACUACCGUCUUCAGAAAGAACUGCUGGAGAAGCAAAAAGAAAUUGCCUCGCUCAAGAGGAGCCUUGAGGAGAAAGAGCGGGCCGUUCUGCUCAUGGAAAAGCAUAUCAACGGUGAACGUGUGACCUCUCAGUCUCCGUGCGGCCGAUCAGUGCAAGGCAGCGAGAGCAGUGUGGAAUCAUCUGUGGCGGAGGCCGAUCAGGACAUGCAGAGCGACCCCGGGUAAAGAAGCGAAACGCAUGAGAGCACCAGAUAAAAUCCAUCACCCGUGGCCAACACGAGCAUAACAAAUGCAAACAUGCACACACACACACACAAGUAUUUCAUUUACAGUAUAUUUAAUGAGCUAAAGCCUCAGCCGCGUCAAUCUUCAUGCAGCAUUACUAUUACUAAUUCUUUCCACCAAGUCUUCUGAUCUGAUUUGGUAAAAUGAUUCUCAGAUUAAAAGAACCAACAACUCACAGAUUUAUUUUAGUCAUGUGAAAAAGCAGUUUGGCCCACGAAUGAAUUACAUCAGGUUCAAGUAUGUUGUCACACAGACAUAAAUUAUCAUUCUGCGGAAUACAUGCAAUGAUAAAUGCGUUUGGUUCCAGAGCAGAUGCAACCAGUAUGCCAAAGAAAUGAAUCAAUUUGUGGUUUUCACAAAUCUAUUGUGUCUGUUAAAAAGAUGUCCGACAUCAUUUUCCUCGCAAGUUAAAUGGGCCGUCGAUGAAAGCGAGUCAGCAAGCGGCAUUGGCAAUUUGUCUCAAGUUCAUCAAAAAUAUCCAAAUGGGUACCAAAUAUGGAUGAGUCACCCUCGGCACUCUGUUUUUCUAAGCGCUGUUUCUAGCAUACUUCGAUUAUGUUUCUGAAGAUCAAAUAUUUUGUUUUCUUUACCAUCCCUUCUGCUCUUGACAAUCGCAUCCUGCAGUCAUGAGGCCCCAAUCUGAGAGCAGAGUCCAGAACAUGUGAGUGGCACGUGUCAGGUCCAUCUAGGGCGAUCGUCCGCCUGUUGGUGCGGGCCGUCGCUCAGCGCCUCUCCGCCAAUCAUCCAGGUCGUCCAGCUGGACUAACGAAAGAUGGAUUAUUAAAAACACUGGUCUUCCUUCUCCUCCUACUCCUCUCACCAUACGACUCAAGCCAUGUCCAUCACCAGCUUGACCCCCCUCCCAGAAAAACCCCCACAUAUAGAUAUGAAAACUCGAUGGGUCGACAUAUUUCUUUUAAUGCGCGCUCAUACUUCCGUGCCAUUACUUUAACCUCCAUUAAAAGUGUAGACAGACCUCGACAUCUUAAAAGCAGGUUUUAGACCACCUGAACCAUCAAAGCGCUUCAGUCUGCUUCCAAGUUUUUCAGGUAUUGUCCGAUUAAUCCGAGACUCAAAAUGUCAUAACCAAGCUUGCAGGCGAACGCAUCACUGGAACAUGAUGUAUCAAAACCAACAAUGGAGGGAAAAUAGUUUUGAGAAAUUCGAGGCAACCAAGUGCAAGUUGGCUCUUCUCAUGUCUGUCUGUCACAUUCCACAGUCUCACGCACUGCAUCUGCAUUCUGUAGGCAAAGCCAGAUCGAGUGCAAAAAAAUGUUUACAACAUUUUACCUCCCCUUGCAAUGAGCUUCCAAACAGGAAGUUGGCGAAGUAUAACCUCCUAGCGAACUGUGACGGGUAUCGAUUAUUAUAUGUGGAAUAAAAGAUAGUGACUCAGAA